Molecule: long non-coding RNA, 1031 nt
Filed under: Homo sapiens (human)
Lineage: Eukaryota; Metazoa; Chordata; Mammalia; Primates; Hominidae
Description: HSALNT0156837
Source: RNAcentral
GAAGCAGAACGCCGACGUGGCCCUGCAGAACCUCCGGGUGGUCAUGAACAGUGCACAGGCUUCCAUCAAGCAACUGGUUUCCGGAGCUGAGACACUGAAUCUUGUUGCCGAAAUCCUUAAAUCUAUAGACAGAAUUUCUGAAGUUAAAGACGAGGAGGAAGACUCUUGAGGACCCCUGGGUGUUCUCAGCAUGAAGCUCCGUGUAUACCCUGAGGUCACCACCGCUCGAUCUAAAUGUGCAGUUGUGUCCUUAAAUAUGCAGUCUUCACCCAGAGUAAAGUGUUGAUCGCAAGAGUCCAGUGUCGUGCCCUCAGCCAGUUCUUGGCCACCACAAUGGGAGCAGCCCUGGCCGAGUUGUCUCUGUGGUUUCUAUGCAGCCCUUCUUGGCGAAAUUCCUGCGAUCUUAUAGAUUCUAAUGAGCUCUUGGAAGACAUUGUCAUAAAAGCCAGUGAUUUUAAGAAAAAGAGUGGUUCUGGAAUCAAUGUUUUCCAGUCCCAUCCCAGAACAUCAGUUGUAAGAUAAGUACAAUUGGUUGUCCUUGAUUUCAUAAGUAGAACAAACACUAAAUGUGCCUCUGAGAUGGCCACCCCGGGCAGGGACCUGUGCCUUCCGCCGAUGCUCAGGGCUCCCUCUGGCUCCCGGGUCACUCUUGUGGCCCCAGUGGGUGGUCCCUGCAGUCAUGGCCUGAGUGCGCAGGGGCCACCGCGUGGCUGCUGCUGUCCUCCUCCGGGACCCACGGGGACCAAGGUCACACGUUCCGUGCUGUGAAGCUGUCCAGAUGUGCCUCUUUGGCUGGGGGUUCUGGUGGACGUUUCAAGUGGCAUUUUGUACAAUGCAGGUUAGAAUUCAGGAAUUUCAAGUAUGUGCCCGGGUCUGUCAGGUCCCAGUUGCCUUUCUGACGGCCCCCCUCAGAGGGACGGCGAUGAGCACUAAAUGCUUUUUUGACUAUUUUCCUAUAGAUUUUUUUUAAAACUUUUUUUUCCUCCUGUUCCAAUUGAUAGCUUUCUUAUUUAAUAAAUUCUGUAGUUCAC